GCCGGUGUGUUGGAAUGGUAGACAUCGGGGUCUUAAAAACCCCUUCCGAUAGGAGUGCCGGUUCGAGUCCGGCCACCGGCACCA
RNAcentral lists this transfer RNA (84 nucleotides) under Sulfitobacter dubius. Its description in RNAcentral is "tRNA-Leu". It matches the Rfam family "tRNA". Rfam says of the family: Transfer RNA (tRNA) molecules are approximately 80 nucleotides in length. Their secondary structure includes four short double-helical elements and three loops (D, anti-codon, and T loops). The record is from RNAcentral. Lineage: Bacteria; Pseudomonadati; Pseudomonadota; Alphaproteobacteria; Rhodobacterales; Roseobacteraceae. RNAcentral also lists the same sequence under 1 other name.